Peromyscus maniculatus bairdii (prairie deer mouse) is the source of this 402-nucleotide long non-coding RNA. RefSeq lists it as uncharacterized. Lineage: Eukaryota; Metazoa; Chordata; Mammalia; Rodentia; Cricetidae. The record is from RefSeq and is a predicted model, not a curated record.
UUCACUCCAGAUCUACCAUUAACCCUGGAAAUUCAAACUCCCGUUCCCCCAAAAGAAUCUCAAAGCAAGAAAGAUGCAGGCUAUUUCCUGAGGCGGCAGAAGAACCCAAUGUACUCUGGUGGCCAAGGAAACAGGGUGAAUGUUUAUAGCUACUUGGGGGAGCCAGGUGAGGUUCUGUGUCCUACUUCACCCAGCUCAUAAAAAGAAGUGCUGAAUCAGCAGAUAAAGUGAGGGAGCAACCCUGGUAUGGCUGCGGCAUGACUCUUGAGGUCAUUAUCUCUCUCCCCCCUGCAAAUGAUGUAGGACUCUAAGCUCGCAGGAUCUAAAAGCAAAUUAUGAAGAAAAAGGAAAAGGGCCUGUGACCGAGACAACAGCAAUCAGCACUAGCAUUUCUGAAUGCAC